Molecule: long non-coding RNA, 1102 nt
Filed under: Homo sapiens (human)
Lineage: Eukaryota; Metazoa; Chordata; Mammalia; Primates; Hominidae
Description: HSALNT0311306
Source: RNAcentral
UUGCGUGGAACGUCUGAACGUAUUUACAAUCCAGACCUGGUCUGCCCAGUAAGGCAGCCACUAGCCAACGUGGGCUAUUGAUUUAUUAAUUGAUACAUUAAUUUUAAUUAUAUUAAAACAAGCAGUGUGGAAUGCUUUCUCCUUAAACAGGCGUUUUUUUGUUUUGUUGUUUUUUUUUCAGGACCAUAUUUCCCUUUAAAUGCUGAAAAUUUAGUGUGGAAUUGAUAUGUACUGUAUGCAUAAACCACACGCUGGAUGUCUAAGACUGGUGAGCAAGUCUUGACAUCUGGAGGAGUUUCCACCAUCCAAGAAGGAAAAGGCAAAGGUCCACAUGGGAAGCUGGAGGUGAAUGGGAGAGACAGAGGCUGCUCAGAUAGGGGCUUUGGUUUCCUGUCUGCCUGUCAGAGCAGGAGGAGGUGGGCCUUGCAGCACCUUGCAUCUGCGUCACUUCAUUUGUAAGAAGAUGGCUGGAAUGGUGAAAAGCACACAGGUUGGAUAUCCAAAGAAGCAGAUUCUGAGAUGGAGACUAGUGUGCAGGAAGUUUCUUUGAAAGUACUUUUGCAAUCAACACCUGGGAAAGGAGGGGAAGGGAAGAAAGCAGGACUGAGCAGAGGGAGAGCUGCACUGUAGUCUCAACAGGAACUUCAGCUGACCCUAUCCUUCAAAGCAAUUCCAAGUUGCAAUGAGGAGCUGGGACUUUAUACCUUCAUGUUUGUUGAUCAUGCGAUGCAGGCCACCCUUUGAAGGAGGCAAGAGAGGCAGUCCCCAAAGGGACUGAGAGCUAAGCAAUGCCUUCUGGUGGCUCUCCCAGAAGCUGGAAUAAUAAAUUCUUUAUUUCUGAACAUCAUAGCGUCUACCACUCUGUCUUUUAGUUAACAGAAGUCAUUAACUUAUUGGGUUAACUUCUAUUAAUGAAAAGACAGAGUGCAGUCAAAUUUCAUGUAUGGUUUGUGUUUUUGAAUCUCAUUUAAGGCAUCGUAUUUCCUUGUACUAAAGUCAUGAAGAUUUUCUUUUAUAUGAUUGUUUGAAAGCUUUAUUUUCAUUAUUAUGUCUUGUCUAUAUUUGAUACUUCGCAUUUAAAAAAUAAAUUAUAGAAUAUUUU